RNAcentral lists this ribosomal RNA (481 nucleotides) under uncultured bacterium. RNAcentral's name for it is "bacterial SSU rRNA". It matches the Rfam family "Bacterial small subunit ribosomal RNA", at positions 355 to 827 of the family's 1533-position model. The record is from RNAcentral.
CUAAGAAUAUUCCACAAUGGACGAAAGUCUGAUGGAGCGACGCCGCGUGGAUGAGGAAGGCCGAAAGGUUGUAAAAUCCUUUUGCGGAUGAAGAAUAAGUGGUGGAGGGAAUGCCAUCAUGAUGACGUUAGUCCGCGAAUAAGCCCCGGCUAAUUACGUGCCAGCAGCCGCGGUAACACGUAAGGGGCGAGCGUUGUUCGGAAUUAUUGGGCGUAAAGGGCGCGUAGGCGGUCGCGUAAGUCUGAUGUGAAAACCCCGGGCUCAACCCGGGAACUGCAUUGGAAACUGCGCAACUUGAGUCACGGGGGGGAAAUCGGAAUUCCUGGUGUAGGGGUGAAAUCUGUAGAUAUCAGGAAGAACACCGGUGGCGAAGGCGGAUUUCCAGCCGAUGACUGACGUCUGAGGCGCGAAAGUGCGGGGAGCAAACAGGAUUAGAUACCCUGGUAGUCCGCACUAUAAACGAUGCACACUAGGUGUCGGG